AUACGUAGGGGGCAAGCGUUGUCCGGAAUGAUUGGGCGUAAAGGGCGCGUAGGCGGCCAUGUAAGUCCGACGUGAAAGUCCUGUUUUUAAGGUGGGAAUUGCGUUGGAAACUGUAUGGCUUGAGUGCAGGAGAGGUAAGUGGAAUUCCCGGUGUAGCGGUGAAAUGCGUAGAGAUCGGGAGGAACACCAGUGGCGAAGGCGACUUACUGGACUGUAACUGACGCUGAGGCGCGAAAGUGUGGGGAGCAAACAGGAUUAGAUACCCUGGUAGUCCACACUGUAAACGAUGAAUGCUAGGUGUAGGGGGUAUCGACCCCUUCUGUGCCGGAGUCAACACAAUAAGCAUUCCGCCUGGGGAGUACGGCCGCAAGGUUGAA
This 377-nucleotide ribosomal RNA is filed under the name uncultured bacterium. Its description in RNAcentral is "bacterial SSU rRNA". It matches the Rfam family "Bacterial small subunit ribosomal RNA", at positions 523 to 898 of the family's 1533-position model. The record is from RNAcentral.